AACCACCAAUCUACUUUCUUUAAGUAUUAAUUAGACAACUUACCAUCUACUUUCUUUAGGCCCUAGCUAUAAGUGAUCAUUGAUUAUCCACCUCUAGUCCAUUUAUAUUCUCAUCAACUUCACAUACUUUAUCUUAGGCAAAAUCUUCCGUUUCUCUUCACACAAAGAAAUCAAAGUGGGAAAAAACACAGAUAAAAGAAAGAAAGAAAAUGAAUUCUCCUCCAAAAUAUCAAAAUAUGUCAUAUUAUGAUCAUGUCCAAAGGCGCCGAGAAGAAAAGGGAUGCCUCUAUGCUUGCAUGUUCACGCUAUGUUGCUGUUUCUGCUGCUACGAAACUUGCGAGAGCUGCUUAGAUUGUGUCUGCUGUUGCCGCACUUGAAGCUAAAAAUUAUGAGUAAUGCAUGCAGUGUGUUUCUAUGUUGCGCGAACUCUCCAAAAUAUUAUUUUACUUGUAUCGGAUCCUCCAAAAAUAUACUGCUUUGGGAGAAUCCCACACGCACCCGACAACAUCUCGUAGAGUCCAAGCAAUGUUUUAUAUCCUUGUAAUUUAAAUUAUUAUAAGAUUGUUAUUAGUAGUUAAUGUUCCAAUAAAAUGGGAUGUUACACAUCACUAUUGUUAAUCUACUACUAUGUUUUAUA
This is a long non-coding RNA of Nicotiana attenuata, 637 nucleotides long. RefSeq lists it as uncharacterized. NCBI's taxonomy places the organism in Eukaryota, Viridiplantae, Streptophyta, Magnoliopsida, Solanales, Solanaceae. The transcript has 2 exons. The record is from RefSeq and is a predicted model, not a curated record.